UAUAGUAAAGAUGCAAAAUCACUUCGUCUCUAAUGCCAAACUUUAAGUUACGACACUUUGAAUAUGAACAUCUAAUUUUAUUUCCAUCUAUAUUUUGAGGUUAUGAAAAUACAAACCGAAGGAAUCUUUCAACUCCUUCCUUAAAUUCAUCAGUGACAUAUCCAUUUCUCAAAUGAUUAUACAUCCAACUAUGAUCUCUCGAUA
This 204-nucleotide long non-coding RNA is filed under the name Elaeis guineensis (African oil palm). Its description in RNAcentral is "long non-coding RNA (EGUI_LNC007464)". Lineage: Eukaryota; Viridiplantae; Streptophyta; Magnoliopsida; Arecales; Arecaceae. The record is from RNAcentral.